Molecule: long non-coding RNA, 1196 nt
Organism: Mirounga angustirostris (Northern elephant seal)
Lineage: Eukaryota; Metazoa; Chordata; Mammalia; Carnivora; Phocidae
Exons: 4
Source: RefSeq, a predicted model, not a curated record
CUGCUGUACAUACUAGAACAAGAGUGGAAUCAAAGAGAUCAGUUGGGAAUCCACUAGAAUGAUCCAGAUGAUAGAAAAUGGUGUCUUGGACUAAAAGAGUACUGAUGAAGGUGGUGGGAGAUGGUGAAAUUGUGUUAUAGGCUGAAAGAGAAUCCAACAGGAGUUUUUGUUAAGUUGAAUGAGGAGUAUGAAGGAAAAGAAAGCUAUGGACAAUUCCAAGAUUUGUGGCCUGAUUGCUGAAUGAAUACGGGUUCCCAUUUAGUAAAAGAGUGAGCACUAAGGAAGAGGAAUCUCUACACCCAGCAUGGGGCUCAAACUCACGACCCCGAAAUCAAGAGUCACAUGCUCUACUUACCGAGGCAGCCAGGUGCCCCUACACUGCUUGGAGUGUUAACCCUAGGAAGAUGUUCCUUCCAAUUGUCCUUCAAGGCUAUCCCUACGUGGGUGGACCCACAGCAAUAACUGUGCUAGUGUGGAUGUAUCAGAAAUUCUCAAAACUUCUGGUUUGCUGAUGACGCUUUUUCUUGUUUCCUAUGAUGUCAUCAUAUUCUCUUCAAAGAAUUUUUUCUGUUACUUUGAUGGGGAUGUUGGAGGUCGGAGAGUUCAGACAUUAAAGAACUUGGUGAGACUGGAAAUGUCUGGGUGCCAGAUGACUCUCAAGCCCACACCAUCUUCAGCUUUCCGGGGCCAGAGGAGGCUGAUGGCAAGGAGGAGAAACAAGGUUUUGAAAAACACCGUGUUCAUUGCAGAACAUUGGGAGGCACCAAGGGAAAAGCAAAUUCACCUACUAACUGUCCUAUUACCCAGAAAUAAAUCACUGUCAACAUUUUGGUGAAUUAUAUUUCCAGCCUGCUUCACAUCCCCUCAAACCGGUAACCUGUUUUUUGUAUACAACACUCAGGAACAUUUCCAGGUCAUGCAUUUUCUAAAUAUAAUAAACAUUUUAAGAAUUUUUUUCUUAUGAAAAGGAAAAAUAAGACAUCCAAACACUAUUUCUGAACUGACCCUCCAGGCCAGGCGGAUGGAUGGCGUCCCCCAAAGCGCAGAUGCUGCCACCUAAAGGAGAGAUGCUAAAAAUACUGCAGUGACAUGUUAGAUGUGUUAAGCUGUGCUGUGAAGGGGGCUAAUUUUGUUUUGUUUUGUUUAAAACUUUCCUUCCUCUUGCCAGACUGGUUUUCCUCCUCCCUUUAAAAAGU